UAAACAUUUGGGACUGUAGCUGAAGAAAUAUACAAUAUUUAAUCAAUUGCCUUGGCCUCUUAAGAUAGAGAAAAGCAGGAUUCGCUAUGCUUAUCCGGCUAGACCCUUUUGAACGAUGUUUUGAGGCAGGUCAUAUGCGUUCUGUCAUCACGUUUCCCCUUCUUAAAGAAAGGUCUUCCAAGUCGGGGUGUUAUAAAAAGGACGGUCACUACAAGUCAAGGUCAGUUACCUGCGAGUUGUUGAAGUGUGCAUUUCGCCUUGUGUGCAAUAUUACCUAUUUGCAGUUUGUUGGAUUUUCAUUAUUGAAAAAGAGCGUAAUUUUCUUACAGUCUACUGUUUUACGGUUUUCCUAUUACCUACUCUGUGCUGUACAUUUUGCACGUGGACGCAGUAAUAUACAAGAGGUAAUAUACAAAAAUAUCAUCGUCACUUUGUAGUUUCGACACUAUUAACACCUUUCUUUCAAUCUCUUGCUUAAUUAGUUUAUAUCAACCUAAGAAUGUCAGGAAAAGUUAAACUCAAUAAAUAUUACAUGCGAGCAAACAGCUCUGCUUGCUUUAUAUAGUCGUUCACAUCAGGAAACCUCUACAGCAUCCACAGUAAGCUUAGGAAAUCAGGAUACACAUAAUUUUGUAGAGAACCCUUCUUUUUCCGAAAAUGAUUUUGCGUCUGUUGAUUGUCCUACUGAUUUUCAAAACGAAAUUUUCGAACAAACGAUUCGCUCCGAAGAAAGUACCGCGUUUAAUACCUAUAAUACACUUGCCUCAGAAGAAACAUUAGAUGAUAGUUUUCAAUAUUCGUUAGUGGAGUGGAUUUUACAAUAUAAUAUUCCUCAUUCCGUGGUAAAUGAUUUACUUUCCAUUUUAAAAAAACCAGUUCCACAAAAUUUACCUUCAGAUGCCAGGACACUAUUAAAAACAACAAGAAAAAUAAAUACAACGUCUGUUGAACCGGGACAGUAAUACCAUUUCGGAUUAAAAAAUAGUAUUUUAAAUCUCGUGAAAACCAUAGAUACGUCUUCUAUUAUUAACAAUAUAAUUCAAAUUAAUAUUAAUAUUGACGGAUUGCCAUUAUGUAAAAGUUCAAGUAGUCAAGUUUAUCCGAUUUUAUGUAGCGUUGCAGGGCAUAAAAAUGUAGUAGAUAUGGUUGGUAUUUAUCAUAGUUAUGAGAAACCCAAAAAUAUAAAUAGUUUUUUUAAUGAUUUUGUGCUGGAGGCAAUAGAUGUCAUUAAUAACGGAUUCUUAAUAAAUGGAAAAUUACAUCGUUUAAAAACUAAAUCUUUCAUAUGCAAUGCCCCUGCUAAAGCCUCUAUUAAAUGCGUGAAAGGGCAUACAGGCUAUUUUUCUUACACCAAGUGUCAAUCUGAAGGAGCAUUCAUAGAAAAUAGAAUAUGUUUCCCUGAUGUAACGAACAUUCGCUUAAGAACCGACUCUGAGUUGUCACGUCUGGAAAAUUUUACAAAUUUGUCCACCUCACAUUCCCUUAUCAAGCCUUCGGGUUGUAGGGGUUUCCUCAUGUAAGGGGCGUGAGGGGGAUACAUCACUUCUGCAUUAUUUCAAUUUCUCCUCGACUCUGUGCUUUCCCAUCAAGCCUGCGGGUUGUG
RNA transcript from Osmia bicornis bicornis, 1603 nucleotides. RefSeq lists it as uncharacterized. Lineage: Eukaryota; Metazoa; Arthropoda; Insecta; Hymenoptera; Megachilidae. The record is from RefSeq and is a predicted model, not a curated record. The transcript has 2 exons.